RNAcentral lists this ribosomal RNA (460 nucleotides) under uncultured bacterium. RNAcentral describes it as "partial 16S ribosomal RNA". It matches the Rfam family "Bacterial small subunit ribosomal RNA", at positions 338 to 795 of the family's 1533-position model. The record is from RNAcentral.
CCUACGGGGGACAGCAGUGAGGAAUAUUGGUCAAUGGGCUUACGCCUGAACCAGCCAAGUCGCGUGAGGGAAGACUGCCCUAUGGGUUGUAAACCUCUUUUGUCAGGGAGCAACGCCGGCUACGUGUAGCCGGACUGAGAGUACCUGAAGAAAAAGCAUCGGCUAACUCCGUGCCAGCAGCCGCGGUAAUACGGAGGAUGCGAGCGUUAUCCGGAUUGAUUGGGUUAAAAGGGUGCGUAGGCGGAAUGCCAAGUCAGCGGUAAAAUCGCGGGGCUCAACCUCGCUCCGCCGUUGAAACUGGCGUUCUUGAGUGGGCGAGAAGUAUGCGGAAUGCGUGGUGUAGCGGUGAAAUGCAUAGAUAUCACGCAGAACUCCGAUUGCGAAGGCAGCAUACCGGCGCCCAACUGACGCUGAAGCACGAAAGCGUGGGUAUCGAACAGGAUUAGAUACCCUAGUAGUC